Molecule: transfer RNA, 66 nt
Filed under: Saltuarius swaini
Lineage: Eukaryota; Metazoa; Chordata; Lepidosauria; Squamata; Carphodactylidae
Description: tRNA-Tyr
Rfam family: tRNA
About the family: Transfer RNA (tRNA) molecules are approximately 80 nucleotides in length.
Source: RNAcentral
UAGUGGCCGAAUGUCCAGGUGGCAGGCUGUAGCCCUGUUGAUGUGGGUUCAAAUCCUAUUUCUACC